UACGUAGGGUACUAGCGUUGUCCGGAAUUAUUGGGCGUAAAGAGCUCGUAGGUGGUUUGUCGCGUCUGCUGUGGAAACGUGCCGCUUAACGGUGCGCGUGCAGUGGGUACGGGCGGACUAGAGUGCAGUAGGGGGAGUCUGGAAUUCCUGGUGUAGCGGUGAAAUGCGCAGAUAUCAGGAGGAACACCAACAGCGAAGGCAGAUCUCUGGGACGUAACUGACGCUGGAGACGCGAAAGCGUGGGGAGCAAACAGG
RNAcentral lists this ribosomal RNA (255 nucleotides) under uncultured bacterium. RNAcentral's name for it is "partial 16S ribosomal RNA". It matches the Rfam family "Bacterial small subunit ribosomal RNA", at positions 524 to 776 of the family's 1533-position model. The record is from RNAcentral.